CACGCCGUAAACGAUGAGUGCUAGGUGUCGCGGGUAUUGACCCCUGCGGUGCCGCAGUUAACGCAUUAAGCACUCCGCCUGGGGAGUACGGUCGCAAGACUAAAACUCAAAGGAAUUGACGGGGGCCCGCACAAGCGGUGGAGCAUGUGGUUCAAUUCGACGCAACGCGCAGAACCUUACCUGGGUUAAAUGCCCUCGAACCCCGCAGAAACGUGGGGGUGCCCGCAAGGGAGCGAGGAGCAAGGUGC
This 248-nucleotide ribosomal RNA is filed under the name uncultured bacterium. Its description in RNAcentral is "partial 16S ribosomal RNA". It matches the Rfam family "Bacterial small subunit ribosomal RNA", at positions 796 to 1041 of the family's 1533-position model. The record is from RNAcentral.